RNAcentral lists this long non-coding RNA (563 nucleotides) under Brassica napus (rape). RNAcentral's name for it is "long non-coding RNA (BNAP_LNC011082)". Lineage: Eukaryota; Viridiplantae; Streptophyta; Magnoliopsida; Brassicales; Brassicaceae. The record is from RNAcentral.
GACUCAAUAAAAUGACAUAACUGCCACUAAAAAAAAACAAAAUGUAAGUAACUACGUCCCCCAGACAUAAACAACACUGUCCCCAGUUUUAUACAGUCUGGGAUUGGCGAAGGAAAUAAAUAAAAAGCUGUAAAAAUGUAACAAGGUUCAGUGAGUAUACCGGCUUCCUGCGUUGAGCGUCGAACAACGCAUUGAAGAGCCGGUCGAUGCUUGAUAAUGUGGCGUUGAUCGACGCUGGCCAGUCGUCAAUUGAUGCUGGUCCUCAACACGUAAACCUCUAAUUUUUUUUUUUAAUAAACGAAAAAGUACCUAAUAGUGGCUUUUCUCCCACUUAGCGCUUGUUUAUAGUCUUUAGCAUGACUGUGUGGUUUCAGGACAAGUCUUGGGAAGGUGGAGAACCUACUGGAAUACAAGUAUCAACAUCUUAUGCAGAUAUUUCAAACCAGCAGCCUACAAAACUCCUGAUUGCAUCAUCAUUUAUGGCCCUCUGCUAUAGCUGCCGUCGUAGGUAGCACCUAUCUAAUCCACUCUAAUUUCCAACAGCUCUGCACAGAUCACGACGG